UUCAAGACAUUCAGUUCGAAUCCACCGCUUUCUAACCUACAACCGUGCUAUUAAAAUGGGUUCCAAAAUGUUCGCGCUCGUCUGCCUCCUCCUCAUAGCGACGACGGUAGAAUCCCGAAUAUUCCGCGAACCACGCCGACUUGCUGACCCGACCCCACCACCCCCUCCCUUCCAGGAAGUCACCAGCGAGAAAUGUGAUGUUUUCAAGAAUAACUACUGUGGUACACUUGACUAUUCUAACCCACAAGAACAGUUUUUUAAUGGGAAGUGAAUAAAUGACAUUGUGUAAAA
Colias croceus (clouded yellow) is the source of this 291-nucleotide long non-coding RNA. RefSeq lists it as uncharacterized. NCBI's taxonomy places the organism in Eukaryota, Metazoa, Arthropoda, Insecta, Lepidoptera, Pieridae. The record is from RefSeq and is a predicted model, not a curated record. The transcript has 2 exons.